UCUGACACAGGUGCUGCAUGGCUGUCGUCAGCUCGUGUCGUGAGAUGUUGGGUUAAGUCCGUACGAGCGCAACCCUUGUCCUUAGUUGCCAGCAGUUCGGCUGGGCACUCUAAAGGGACUGCCGGUGUUAAACCGGAGGAAGGUGGGGGAUGACGUCAAGUCCUCAUGGCCUUUAUGACCAGGGCUACACACGUACUACAAUGGCCGAUACAAAGGGCAGCGACACUGCGAGGUGAAGCCAAUCCCGUAAAAUCGGUCUCAGUCCGGAUUGGAGUCUGCAACUCGACUCCAUGAAGUUGGAAUCGCUAGUAAUCGUGGAUCAGCAUGCCACGGUGAAUACGUUCCCGGGCCUU
Molecule: ribosomal RNA, 353 nt
Filed under: uncultured Desulfobulbus sp.
Lineage: Bacteria; Pseudomonadati; Thermodesulfobacteriota; Desulfobulbia; Desulfobulbales; Desulfobulbaceae
Description: bacterial SSU rRNA
Rfam family: Bacterial small subunit ribosomal RNA
Source: RNAcentral